Long non-coding RNA from Oreochromis aureus, 1264 nucleotides. The record is from Ensembl. Lineage: Eukaryota; Metazoa; Chordata; Actinopteri; Cichliformes; Cichlidae.
GUUUUUUUUUUUUGUUUUUUUUUUACAAGUCCAGUCUCUCAGGUUUCUUGAUCUCUCGUGCAGACCUCCUGAGCACAGGCUUGCUUGAAUUGUCUAUGCCGGUGCCACUCCGGUCACGUGGCAAGAUGGUUUUAUUUGGAUCUCAGUGACUUCUGAAGAAGCUUCUGGUAUUUUCAAAAGGCUUUGCCGAUUUCGACGAAUGAUUUGUCCAUCUUCAGUCCUUACACUGAAUGACCUUUGAGCCACUUCUUCGAGAACGGUAGCCUUGGUGUUCCAACCAUUUUGGUCCUCAAUCCUGACUGUGUCCUCAACUGCUAAUGGUCAAAGUUGCUUGGCUCUUCUGUUAUAAAAUGACUUUUGCUUCAUCUUUAAUUUUACAUGUGUUAUGACACACGCCGAUGACAAGUUUGAAAGCAGUGCCAUUUCAGGGAAGUUAGAGUGGUAGUCAAUGACCACUAAAUAGUCUUUGCCUUUAACAUGAAAUAAAUCCAUCCCUACUUUGUACCAUGGCGCUGUUGGUGUUUCAUCAACAACCAUAGAUUCUUUGGUCUGUUUGUUGCAAUACUUCUGACAUGUCUCACACCUUCUUAUCAUGUUCUCAAUGUCUCUGUUCCUCCCAGGCCAAAAGGCUGUCUCUCUUGCCCUUCUUUUGCAUUUCUCAAUUCCGGGAUGCUCUUCAUCUAUUUAGAUGGAGGAUCACUAACAGGAGCGUGGGAAGACUCCAGAAUCCACUCUGGCUGGAAUCUGGUGGAUACAGCAGUGUUACAGUCCUCUGACAGACUGGUACCUGUCCAGGUGUGCUCUACCUAUGACUACUGGGACAGGCUCUAAUAGAAAGUUUCUAUUAUUCUCAUUUAAGGUAUUUAAGUGCUUAUGCAUAUGCUUAGUUGUGACACUGUUAUAGACUGUUCAGUGAAAGUUUUUAAAACUAGAUGAACUUACUUCAGCAUCAGCAGUUUGAGAAAACAACUCCCUUUACAGGUGCUGAUAAGGCCAAGGGCACAAAACAGCUUAACCAUUGAUCUGUUAUGUUUCAUUGCGAGACGCGUGAAGUGUGGUAUGAUCAGUUUGUAACUUCCUCCCUCUUCCUUGGAAUGCAAAGAGGAGUGUGAGCACCACUUCUGUGGCAGAGCUGACAUGACUGUGAACUUUGAUGUUUGAUGCGUGUUGGCUCUCCUGCACGCAGUAAUAAAUAGCUUGAUCACAGCUCUUUCUGUGUUGCAGACUUUAUUUACAAAAUUCCACAACACCCCCCCCACCCUCC